UGUUCAUGUCCUCAUCGUCUUGAUAAAAACCAGGACUUGAGGUUCUUUGAGGCGAAGAAGAGAAGGGUUACUGAUAUUCUAGAACUCAAUUAACAGUUCCAUUUCGUGUGGAUGAGUUGACCUUUCCAGGACCGUCACGCUCGUCAGAUCCCUGGCCUCCUCCGGCGACUACCCUCUUCCCAUUGGCGACCAGUGGGGGCCGAGCUUCGUCACAUAACGCCAGCGGCUGUUCUCCAUGGAAGCCAGAAAUAAAUGGAAUAAAUGAAC
This 267-nucleotide long non-coding RNA is filed under the name Spirodela polyrhiza (greater duckweed). RNAcentral describes it as "long non-coding RNA (SPOL_LNC000553)". Lineage: Eukaryota; Viridiplantae; Streptophyta; Magnoliopsida; Alismatales; Araceae. The record is from RNAcentral.